Molecule: ribosomal RNA, 1456 nt
Filed under: uncultured Bordetella sp.
Lineage: Bacteria; Pseudomonadati; Pseudomonadota; Betaproteobacteria; Burkholderiales; Alcaligenaceae
Description: partial 16S-23S ribosomal RNA intergenic spacer
Rfam family: Bacterial small subunit ribosomal RNA
Source: RNAcentral
AGUUCGGAUCAUGGCUCAGAUUGAACGCUAGCGGGAUGCUUUACACAUGCAAGUCGAACGGCAGCACGGACUUCGGUCUGGUGGCGAGUGGCGAACGGGUGAAGAAUGUAUCGGAACGUGCCUAGUGGGGAUAACUACGCGAAAGCGUAGCUAAUACCGCAUACGUACCUCUUCGGGGGAAAGCGGGGACCUUCGCCUCGCACUAUUAGAGCGGCCGAUAUCGGAUUAGCUAGUUGGUGGGGCAGUCUACCACCAGGCGACGAUCCGUAGCUGGUUUGAGAGGACGACCAGCCACACUGGGACUGACACGGCCCAGACUCCUACGGGAGGCAGCAGUAGGGAAUUUUGACAAUGGGGAAACUUCGAUCCAGCCAUCCCGCGUGUGCGAUGAAGGCCUUCGGGUUGUAAAGCACUUUUGGCAGGAAAGAAACGGCACGGGAUAAUACCCCAGUAACUGACGGUACCUGCAGAAUAAGCACCGGCUUAACUACGCCAGCAGCCGCGGUAAUACGUAGGGUGCAAGCGUUAAUCGGAAUUACUGGGCGUAGCGUGCGCAGGCGGUUCGGAAAGAAAGAUGUGAAAUCCCAGAUUAACUUUGGAACUGCAUUUUUAACUACCGAGCUAGAGUGUGGUCAGAGGGAGGUGAAUUCCUGUGUAGCAGUGAAAUGCGUAGAUAUGCGGGAGUGGACACCGAUGGCGAAGGCAGCCUCCCGGGGAUAAUACCGACGCUCAUGCACGAAAGCGGGGAGCAAACAGGAUUAGAUACCCUGGUAGUCCACGCCCUAAACGAUGUCAACUAGCUGUUGGGGCCGGCCUUAUGGUAGCGCAGCUAACGCGUGGUUGACCGCCUGGGGAGUACGGUCGCAAGAUUAAAUCAAAGGAAUUGGACGGGGACCCGCACAAGCGGUGGAUGAUGUGGAUUAAUUGAUGCAACGCGAAAAACCUUACCUACCCUUGACAUGUCUGGAAUCCCGAAGAGAUUUGGGAGUGCUCGCAAGAGAACCGAACACAGCCAGACAUGGCUGUCGUCAGCUCGUGUCGAGAUGCUGGGUUAAGUCCCGCAACGAGCGCAACCCUUGUCAUUAGUUGCUACGAAAGGGCACUCUAAUGACUGCCGGUGACAAACCGGAGGAAGGUGGGGAUGACGUCAAGUCCUCAUGGCCCUUAUGGGUAGGGCUUCACACGUCAUACAAUGGUCGGGACAGAGGGUCGCCAACCCGCGAGGGGCAUCCCAGAAACCCGAUCGUAGUCCGGAUCGCAGUCUGCAACUCGACUGCGUGAAGUCGGAAUCGCUAGUAAUCGCGGAUCAGCAUGUCGCGGUGAAUACGUUCCCGGGUCUUGUACACACCGCCCGUCACACCAUGGGAGUGGGUUUUACCAGAAGUAGCUAGCUCAACCGUAAGGAGGGCGAUUACCACGGUAGAUUCAUGACUGGGGUGAAGUCGUAACAAGGUAG